CAGAGGGGGAUAACGUUUGGAAACGAACGCUAGUACCGCAUGAUAUUAUUGGGCAGCAUUGCCUGAUAAUCAAAGGAGCAAUCCGCUGAAAGAUGGGCUCGCGUCCGAUUAGGUAGUUGGCGGGGUAACGGCCCACCAAGCCGACGAUCGGUAGCCGGACUGAGAGGUUGAACGGCCACAUUGGGACUGAGACACGGCCCAGACUCCUACGGGAGGCAGCAGUGAGGGAUAUUGGUCAAUGGGGGAAACCCUGAACCAGCAACGCCGCGUGAGGGAAGACGGUUUUCGGAUUGUAAACCUCUGUCCUCUGUGAAGAUGAUGACGGUAGCAGAGGAGGAAGCUCCGGCUAACUACGUGCCAGCAGCCGCGGUAAUACGUAGGGAGCAAGCGUUGUCCGGAUUUACUGGGUGUAAAGGGUGCGUAGGCGGCUUUGCAAGUCAGAAGUGAAAUCUAUGGGCUUAACCCAUAAACUGCUUUUGAAACUGCAGGGCUUGAGUGAAGUAGAGGUAGGCGGAAUUCCCGGUGUAGCGGUGAAAUGCGUAGAGAUCGGGAGGAACACCAGUGGCGAAGGCGGCCUACUGGGCUUUAACUGACGCUGAGGCACGAAAGCGUGGGUAGCAAACAGGAUUAGAUACCCUGGUAGUCCACGCUGUAAACGAUGAUUACUAGGUGUGGGUGGACUGACCCCAUCCGUGCCGGAGU
Molecule: ribosomal RNA, 702 nt
Filed under: uncultured bacterium
Lineage: Bacteria
Description: bacterial SSU rRNA
Rfam family: Bacterial small subunit ribosomal RNA
Source: RNAcentral